GACAGAGGGUGCAAACGUUGUUCGGAAUUACUGGGCGUAAAGCGUGUGUAGGCGGCCAUAUAAGUCGGAUGUGAAAGCCCUGGGCUCAACCCAGGAAGUGCACUCGAUACUGUGUGGCUUGAGUACUGGAGAGGUUGGUGGAAUUCUCGGUGUAGAGGUGAAAUUCGUAGAUAUCGAGAGGAACACCGGUGGCGAAGGCGGUUCUCUGGGCCGACACUGACACUGAGAGACGAAAGCUAGGGGAGCGAAUGGG
This 253-nucleotide ribosomal RNA is filed under the name uncultured bacterium. RNAcentral's name for it is "partial 16S ribosomal RNA". It matches the Rfam family "Bacterial small subunit ribosomal RNA", at positions 524 to 776 of the family's 1533-position model. The record is from RNAcentral.